AAGGGCACCACAAGAACGCGUGGAGCAUGUGGCUUAAUUUGACUCAACGCGGGAAAUCUUACCGGGUCCGGACACACUGAGGAUUGACAGGUAUUAUUGUAUAUUUACACUAUCCACGUGUGAUAUACAUGUUAAAUAUGCUAGUCCUUUCAUGAUUAUGUGAUAGGUGGUGCAUGGCCGUUCUUAGUUCGUGGAGUGAUCUGUCUGCUUAAUUGCGUUUCACUAAGGGCCUAUAAAUUUACGUAUGUUGCGGCGCUUUGACCCCUCUUUUAUAGAGCGCGUGUCUUUGAUUGCUUAGCUCAUACAAUUAGGUCCUGAAAGCAACGAACGUGACCGCAACCUCUUGUUACCUUUAUACCAAACACGUUGCAGUAAUAAUUUUUAUUAUCUUGCUUUCGUGCAAAAAGGCCUUUUAAACUAGAGGGACCGCUGUUACUUUCUUAAACCAGAGGAAGGUUGCGGCAAUAACAGGUCUGUGAUGCCCUUUGAUGUUCCGGGCUGCACACGUGCUACAAUGAUUAUUGCAGUGAGCAUCUCAUUUUUUACCCACCGCAUGGCGCGAGUCUAUUUAUUCACCAUUUGUGUGCUUUAAAUAUGUAUCUCUGCGCGCGGUAAAGCCUGCUUCGAAAGUAAGUGGGUAAUCAAUUAGAAGUAAUGAUUUCCUUAUAUAGCACACAUAUAUACGGCAUCUUUACCCGGCCUGCCUUGUUCCAGGUUUCUUGUGUGUAUUGAUGUUUUUUCCGUAUGUGCGAUUGUCAAUUCAUGGUGGGGACAGACCAUUGUUAAUUGUUGGUCUCGGUCUUAACUAGGAAUGCCUUGUACGGGUCUUUGGUUCAACAAACCACCCGGAAUACGUCCCUGCCCUUUGUACACACCGCCCGUCGCUCUUACCGAUGGACUUCUCUGUGAGUUUGAGGGACUGGGAACGCAUAUCUCUAUAUGCACACCUAUGGAAACUUAAACGAACAGUGUGGUCUAAAGGAAAGAGAAGUCGUAACAAGGCAUCGGUAGGUGAACCUGCAGAAGGAUCA
Molecule: ribosomal RNA, 1031 nt
Filed under: Operculina complanata
Lineage: Eukaryota; Foraminifera; Rotaliida; Nummulitidae
Description: bacterial SSU rRNA
Rfam family: Eukaryotic small subunit ribosomal RNA
Source: RNAcentral